GUGGGGAAUAUUGGACAAUGGGCGAAAGCCUGAUCCAGCCAUGCCGCGUGUGUGAAGAAGGUCUUCGGAUUGUAAAGCACUUUAAGUUGGGAGGAAGGGCAGUAAGUUAAUACCUUGCUGUUUUGACGUUACCGACAGAAUAAGCCCCGGCUAACUACGUGCCAGCAGCCGCGGUAAUACGUAGGGGGCAAGCGUUGUCCGGAAUGAUUGGGCGUAAAGGGCGCGUAGGCGGCCCGGUAAGUCUGAAGUGAAAGUCCUGCUUUUAAGGUGGGAAUUGCUUUGGAUACUGUCGGGCUUGAGUGCAGGAGAGGUAAGCGGAAUUCCCGGUGUAGCGGUGAAAUGCGUAGAGAUCGGGAGGAACACCAGUGGCGAAGGCGGCUUACUGGACUGUAACUGACGCUGAGGCGCGAAAGUGUGGGGAGCAAACAGGAUUAGAUACCCGGGUAGUCC
RNAcentral lists this ribosomal RNA (450 nucleotides) under uncultured bacterium. Its description in RNAcentral is "bacterial SSU rRNA". It matches the Rfam family "Bacterial small subunit ribosomal RNA", at positions 354 to 796 of the family's 1533-position model. The record is from RNAcentral.